RNAcentral lists this ribosomal RNA (489 nucleotides) under uncultured bacterium. RNAcentral's name for it is "partial 16S ribosomal RNA". It matches the Rfam family "Bacterial small subunit ribosomal RNA", at positions 28 to 507 of the family's 1533-position model. The record is from RNAcentral.
GACGAACGCUGGCGGCGUGCUUAACACAUGCGAGUCGAACGGAAAGGCCCCCAUCUUGGUGGGGGUGCUCGAGUGGCGAACGGGUGAGUAACACGUGGGUGAUCUGCCCUGUACUUCGGGAUAAGCUUGGGAAACUGGGUCUAAUACCGGAUAGGACCAUGGUUUAGUGUCUCAUGGUGGAAAGAUUAUUGUUUUGGUGCAGGAUGAGCUCGCGGCCUAUCAGCUUGUUGGUGGGGUAAUGGCCUACCAAGGCGUCGACGGGUAGCCGGCCUGAGAGGGUGGACGGCCACAUUGGGACUGAGAUACGGCCCAGACUCCUACGGGAGGCAGCAGUGGGGAAUAGUGCACAAUGGGCGCAAGCCUGAUGCAGCGACGCCGCGUGGGGGAUGACGGCCGUCGGGUUGUAAACUCCUUUCGUUAGGGACGAAGCCGCACUUUUUUUGGGUGUGGUGACGGUACCUUUGUUAAGAAGCACCGGCUAACUACGUG